Molecule: long non-coding RNA, 157 nt
Organism: Vespa mandarinia (Asian giant hornet)
Lineage: Eukaryota; Metazoa; Arthropoda; Insecta; Hymenoptera; Vespidae
Source: RefSeq, a predicted model, not a curated record
CAUCGAGUUUACUGAUGCAGUUGUUAUUUUAUUUUAGAAAAUUGAUUAGAUUAUUAUUGACAAUUGGUUCUCUGUAUGUAGCUUUUUAGGAUAUUCAUUGUGCAAGGAUCAACAAAGUAAUUGGAUCAUCAAUAAAUCGACUGUUGUAUUGCUUAAA